GAUGGACGCUGGCGGCGUGCUUAACACAUGCAAGUCGAACGAAGAUGCCGGAGUGCUUGCACUUUGGCAGACUGAGUGGCGGACGGGUGAGUAACGCGUGGGUAACCUGCCUUAUACAGGGGGAUAACAGUUGGAAACGACUGCUAAUACCGCAUAAGCGCACGGUAUCGCAUGAUACAGUGUGAAAAACUCCGGUGGUAUAAGAUGGACCCGCGUCUGAUUAGCUAGUUGGUGGGGUAACGGCUCACCAAGGCAACGAUCCCUAGCUGGUCUGAGAGGAUGACCAGCCACACUGGGACUGAGACACGGCCCAAACUCCUACGGGAGGCAGCAGUGGGGAAUAUUGCACAAUGGGGGAAACCCUGAUGCAGCGACGCCGCGUGAGCGAAGAAGUAUUUCGGUAUGUAAAGCUCUAUCAGCAGGGAAGAAGAAAUGACGGCACCUGACUAAGAAGCACCGGCUAAAUACGUGCCAGCAGCCG
This 481-nucleotide ribosomal RNA is filed under the name uncultured bacterium. Its description in RNAcentral is "bacterial SSU rRNA". It matches the Rfam family "Bacterial small subunit ribosomal RNA", at positions 28 to 517 of the family's 1533-position model. The record is from RNAcentral.